Corticium candelabrum is the source of this 297-nucleotide long non-coding RNA. RefSeq lists it as uncharacterized. The record is from RefSeq and is a predicted model, not a curated record. NCBI's taxonomy places the organism in Eukaryota, Metazoa, Porifera, Homoscleromorpha, Homosclerophorida, Plakinidae. The transcript is spliced from 3 exons.
GGUCUGUGAAGUGGAAGUUUACGCAGAUGUUCACUGCAUUACUCCUGAUUCUCUUGUCAACGGCAAAUACAGCAUCACAAAUGACUCGGUGGGUGGGUCUUUGUCAGUGGAAUGCAAUCAAGGGUAUAAACCAACAUCCUCUAAACCGAUUACAUGUGAGAGCAGUGGAAAUUGGAGUCAGCCGUUUCCAACAUGCACAGAUUUUAGUUGCUCUGACUGUCAUGAAGAAGCCGAUUGCAUUCAAAACGAGCACUGCGUUUGCAAACCAGGAUACAUUGGCGACGGGAGAUAUUGCUG